AAAAAUAUUCUGUUUCCACAUUUGCCACAAGGGAGUAUUAUGAAAUCUCUGCCCCCAGGAACUUCCCGAAAGUCAUUUCUCAUGUCCAUUGUUUGGCUAUGUCUUAUACUAAGUAAGAUAAAUGAGGUAUUGAGAUCCAGAUAACAAAAUAAAUAAAUACCAAAAAAAACCCUCAAAAAUUCUUAGGAACAAUUAAAUGAGUGUAUCAGGCAAGACUGAUUUUUUACUUUAAUAUAAUCCAAUUGACUAAAUUUUAGGCCUCAAUUCUUUGCUUUGUUUUUCAGUUGGUGACAGAGAUUUUGAAUGUCCUAGGAAAGCUUUGGUCACUAUUCCAACUAUCUGUCAUCAGAGAGGCCUCUGUAAUUGUGUCUUCUCUAUGCCUCCUGGUGCCAUAUCCACCAGAGAUUUUAGUGCACACAGAAGAAUAUGCCAUAGAAUCCUUCAGUUGUCUCAAAUUUCCUUUUCACUCAUUAGUGGAAGUUAACUACAUCAUAUUUUUAAUACAACUGAUAAUUUGACCUGUAAGUUAUAUACAAAAUUUUAUUAAUUCAUGGACAUUUCUUUAAAUAUGUUCAACUAAAUUUUGAAUAGAUUUGCCUCAUUACAAUGCAAAAAAGAAAAAUGUGACUAAAUGAAUUAUUUGAAGUUAAUCUCUGUUUUCUUUUAACAUGUUGAGUUCUGAAAAUGGAGACAUUCAGACAUAAUUUAGUUACAUGAAAUACUAAUAACACUGCGUUUGAAGCAGUUAAAAAUACAUUAAGGGAGUUCCCAUCAUGGCUCAGUGGUUAACAAAUCUGACUAGGAACCAUGAGGUUGUGGGUUUGAUCCCUGGCCUUGCUCAGUGGGUUAAGGAUCCAGAGUUGCCAUGAGCUGUAGUGUAGGUCACAGACGAGGCUUGGAUCUGGCGUUGCUGUGGCUGUGGUGUAGGCUGGCGGCUACAGCUCGGAUAGAUCCCUAGCCCGGGAACCUCCAUAUGCUGCAGGUGCAGCCCUAAAAAAGACAAAAAAAAAAAAAAUACAUUACAGUUACAGUUGUACAGAAACUGUUUUAUAAAAUUACAAUGCAAAUGCAAUCAUACAUUCUUAUGAUGGAAGCCUAGAAGAAAUGGUUUGGGCCUGGAAAAAUAAUAUCUACAAUUUUGAUAAAUAUGACUUUUUUAGGAGUUCUCUUAUGGUGCAAUGGGUUGGGGAUCCAGCACUGUCACUGCAGCAGCUUGGGUUGCUUCUAUGGUGUGGGUUUGAUCCCAGGCUGGGGAACUUCCACAUGCCACGGUGCAGCCAGGAAAAAAAAAAAAAAAAGAGUACAUUUUCCACCUUUCAGUUCUUGGUGCAAAAUUAGGGUCCAUAUUCAGCUCACUCCAUCUGCCAUAGUUUGCCAAAGGAUUGAAUAAAUGAAAAGAAAAUGUGAUCAUUAAUGUGAACAAUGGUAACAAUUUCAAUGAGGUAUCAGUGUGUUAUUAUCCAGCUUUUAAUAAGUUCAUCUUUUUAAUUAAGCUGUUUAUAUAUGAGAUUAUCCUUUGGAAAAAUAUGUAUAUCAACAGGUAGUUCAAACAGAGGGCCAUGGGAGUUAUCGUUAGUUAUUAGACUACUUUGGAAUGUCAACUUUUUGGAAAAACUAUAAACAAAGGAAAAUAAAUAACUCAAUGUCUUCCAUUAAGCUAUAGGGCUAUAAAUCUGCACAUAAUCAUCUAAAAUAAUUGUGAGCAAAGACUUGACUACAUUAUGACAAUUAGAAAGUGCUUUAAAAUGUGGAAUCAAAAAAAAAUGUAGAAUCAGACAAUGUUGACAGCUGCUUCACAUGAACUAUUAAGACACUUAAGGUGCAAGUAUUCCCAAAAGAAGAAUUAAUAUUCUGUGAAUAGCAUGAAAAGAUGGAAGCUCUCUGAACUACCUGAAGUGUUCAAGCUGGAUUUAGCCUUUCUGGGUUUAACUAUGUCUGCAAAAGCAAAGUAAAGUGGAGAAGUAAAGCAAUUAUCCUGAUUAACCAAGCAAAAAAUAAUUCUCUGCAAGUCAGAAACAAGCAAUUAUUUUUAGAGCCACACCUGCCUCACAUGGAGGUUCCCUAGUUAGGAACUGAAUCAGAGCUACAGCUGCCAGCCUACGUCACAGGUACAGCAACAUGGGAUCCCAGCCACAUAUCCAAAGUACACAACAGCUCACAUCAACACCAGAUCUUUAACCCACUGCUCAAGGCCAGGGAUCAAACCUGCAUCCUCAGAGAUAUUAGUUGGGUUUGUUACUGCUGAGUCACAAUGGGAACUCACAGAAACAAGUAAUUGUUAAAGCAUAAAUUAUACAGAUUGACUAUACUAUCUAUGUUGACCACAAUCACCAAAUAAAACUAUGCUACUUUGUUUAUAGAGUCAGCCAAAAAGGUAAUAUCACGAAGUAAAUCUGAUCUUAAACUUUAACUGAAUUUAUCUCCCUUAAGAACAUGAUGCUAAUAAAAAUGUUUAUUCUAGAAAACCAAGUACAUAUUGAAAUAUGAUGAAAAAUGAAAAAAUUCCAAUAUUUUGAAAUGAGAAUGCUAACCCUGUUGACCACAUAGUGUUCUUAAGCACCCUGGACCAGGCCAGGUGGGGAGGGGAUGAAAGCUGGAUCACACAUAAUCCAGCAAUGCAUAUCUCACUUCUAACUCAGAGACCUCAUACAUGCAUAGAGGAACCUGACCAAAAAAAUUCCAGAGAAAUGAGUAGACAAAUCAAUUUGAGCUUUUAGUAGGUGACAUUAAAACUAAAUGAGUGGGACUUCCCUUGUGGCCUACAAGUUGACUACAUGAUGUUCUCACUGUCAUGGCUCUGAUUCAAUCACUGGCCCUGGAACCAGCUUCCAUAUCCUGUGGAUAUAACCAACCAAUAAAUAAAUAAAUAAAUAAAUAAAUAAAUGAGUGGUAAAAAAUAACCCAAUAAAAAAUAGGUUGAGGAAGAUCUAAAUAGAGAUUUCUCCAAAGAUGACAUAUUGAUGGCCAACGGACACAGGAAAAGAUGUUCAACCUUGCUAAUUUUUAGAGAAAUGCAAAAACUACAGUGAGAUAUCACUUCACACAAUCAGAAUGCCCAUCACCAAAAAAAUCUACAAAUAAUAAAUGCUGGAGAGGUUGCAGAGGAAAGGGAACCCUCCUACACUCUUGGUGGUAAUAUAAAUUGGUGCAACCACUAUGAAGAACAGUAUGGAGGUCCUUAAAAAGCAAAAAUAGAGUUAUCAUAUGAUCCAACAAUCCCACUCGUGAGCAUAUAUCUAGAAAAGGUGAAAACUCUAAUUCAAAAAGAAACAUGCACCCAAAUUCAUGGCAGGACUAUUUAUAAUAGCUAAGACAUGGAAGCAAC
Molecule: long non-coding RNA, 3325 nt
Filed under: Sus scrofa (pig)
Lineage: Eukaryota; Metazoa; Chordata; Mammalia; Artiodactyla; Suidae
Description: lncRNA (ENSSSCG00000052360.1)
Source: RNAcentral